RNAcentral lists this ribosomal RNA (459 nucleotides) under uncultured bacterium. RNAcentral describes it as "partial 16S ribosomal RNA". It matches the Rfam family "Bacterial small subunit ribosomal RNA", at positions 338 to 795 of the family's 1533-position model. The record is from RNAcentral.
CCUACGGGAGGCAGCAGUGAGGAAUAUUGGUCAAUGGACGAGAGUCUGAACCAGCCAAGUAGCGUGAAGGAUGACUGCCCUAUGGGUUGUAAACUUCUUUUAUAUGGGAAUAAAAUGUUCCACGUGUGGGAUUUUGUAUGUACCAUAUGAAUAAGGAUCGGCUAACUCCGUGCCAGCAGCCGCGGUAAUACGGAGGAUCCGAGUGUUAUCCGGAUUUAUUGGGUUUAAAGGGGCGUAGGUGGAUUGUUAAGUCAGUUGUGAAAGUUUGCGGCUCAACCGUAAAAUUGCAGUUGAAACUGGCAGUCUUGAGUACAGUAGAGGUGGGCGGAAUUCGUGGUGUAGCGGUGAAAUGCUUAGAUAUCACGAAGAACUCCGAUUGCGAAGGCAGUUCACUGGACUGCAACUGACACUGAGGCUCGAAAGUGUGGGUAUCAAACAGGAUUAGAUACCCGAGUAGUC